GUUUGGAAGGUUUUCCAUUGGGUGCAAUGAAAUGCAGAAAGCAGAGCAAGCAGGUGGGUGAGGACAGUGUGUAGUGCUGUGGCUAUGGCAUCUGGUUCCAUCAGCAGGCAAAUUGUAGGGGGUCCAGUGUGGGUGGCAGCAUGUUCCAGACGUGGUCUUUAACCAGCCUCUCAAAGCACCUGCUUAUAAUUGAGACUCUGGGCGCUAGACAAUUGAAAGGAUAUCAGGAUCCGUUGGGAUAAAGAAAUCAAGAUCUGCCCACUGAAUAUGGACUGGCUGCAGGAAUAGAAGGGAUCUGAGCAUCUCGGCUGGAAUGAUGUCAUUCAUCAUACCAGAAAUCAUGCAGCCACGAAAUAAAGAAACACAAUAGAACCCAUUAAAAGAAAACCUCACUCCAGACCAUCAAACACCCAAUGUGCGAGGAAAAAAAACAAGUGGCACAAACAAUAAAAGGUCAACAAAUAACAUUAACCUGAGAAUCCCCAGAAGUGAGGGCUCAGCAUUGUGCCAAUAGCUGCAGGCCACAGCUGCAAAGUUAGUUCAGUUCAGUCCUGAGUGCCCCCAAUCAAAUACUGCAAAGAGCAAAAAAGGUAUAAACAAAAUUGAGAGGGACAUGAUCUGCUGAGACCCCAAAAGUGGGUCCACAACGUUCAGUGCUGAGGCGCGUGGUGCUCGUCCAAAAGCCUCAUGACUGCAGGGCAACAGCCGCACCGAGACCCAGUGGUGUGGGACACAAGACUCCUGCACUGGCAGCAGCAAGAAGAGGCAGGCAGACGGCGCCGAACGCACAUUCGUUUCCCUCUCUCGUCCUCAACGACUUUAAUCUUGCUCACCACUUUAAUCGAUGAGGAGUAAUGGAGCCGACCACGGCUUCGCGUUCCGCCAAUGGGCACGCGGCAUCCAACCCCAGCCACGGCCGGAGCCCCACUCUUUGCUCACGUUCAUGCUGAAUAUCCCAGGAGAUCACAGAAGAGUCAAUCAUUCAGUCAGCCCAAAAAUACAUUCUUAAACAGAAUUACAGGGUGCAGCUCAGAGGAGAAAGAAGUAUACUUCAAUGAAGAGAAUCCAGUAGUUUCAUAAACUGUCUACAAGAUGCUGCCGUUGGUUACUGGUGCCAUCUUGCCAGAAACAUCUGGCAAAAAUGACUACUUCUCUCCUCAUAGAUAAGUCUAACCUCCUAAGUUUCCCCACCAUUUUUUCAUAUAUUUAGAUUUCCAGCAUUUGCAGUUUUUCCCCCUUUAUUGAUAAUGAUCUUUCUGUGGUUCUGUGGCGACCCACUUCCCAGCGCACUCGAACCAGCUCACAAAGUGGCGCAUGCCGGCAUUGAGGCCGGUCCCAAAGAGCGCGCCAAGCCUGCUUCACCAACAAAGGGAAAAGCCCGCGUAUGGGACAGGACUGUGAAUACGCACCCCCUGUAGCAUUCCCGCCCAAGGAGGGCGGGAUCAGGAAGGCUUUAAAGCGAGGCCACAAAGUUUGAAUAAACCUCUUUUGUAACUGCAGCUC
Hypanus sabinus (Atlantic stingray) is the source of this 1503-nucleotide long non-coding RNA. RefSeq lists it as uncharacterized. The record is from RefSeq and is a predicted model, not a curated record. The transcript has 5 exons. NCBI's taxonomy places the organism in Eukaryota, Metazoa, Chordata, Chondrichthyes, Myliobatiformes, Dasyatidae.